RNAcentral lists this non-coding RNA (164 nucleotides) under Nostoc punctiforme PCC 73102. Lineage: Bacteria; Bacillati; Cyanobacteriota; Cyanophyceae; Nostocales; Nostocaceae. RNAcentral also lists the same sequence under 1 other name. The record is from RNAcentral.
UGAUCGAUAAGGUUAUUCGGUUCUGGUGGGGAGCAGCUACCAGAGGUAACGGGGAAAGUUCGGUGCAAAUCCGGCGCUGUCCCGCAACUGUAAACCAAUUUGAGAUGUAAUCUAAAAUCCCAAAUUGAGUGAGUCAGGAUGCCCGCCGAAAUAGAUUUACUAGU